Molecule: ribosomal RNA, 1059 nt
Filed under: Triticum aestivum (bread wheat)
Lineage: Eukaryota; Viridiplantae; Streptophyta; Magnoliopsida; Poales; Poaceae
Description: partial small subunit ribosomal RNA
Source: RNAcentral
AUGCUUAGGAAGAUGUUCCAAGGUGGUUCCUCUAAGAAGCAAGGACCCAGGAUUGCUAUGCGCGAUGCUGACGAGGAUCCACCAAGAGAUGCUCCAGUACGGCCUUGCGAAUGGCCGUCGGAAAAUUUUAUGGACAGUGCGCGAAUUAAAGAAGAAUUCAAAUCAUAUUUGCGCAAUUCCGGUCUUGAGGAUUUUGAGGCUAACAAAUGCCCCCAGUAUCAUGAUCUCACAAGUUCAUUUGUGAGGAGGUUUGAGUAUUCAUCUUCGCAUAAUUCUCCUUCAGUCAUGUUUGAUCUUUAUGACAAAUCUUAUACCAUGGACCUAGAGGAUUUCACUCUUGCAUGCAAACUUCCAUCAUGGGGUAGUGUUAGGGAUCCCCCUAAAUCUGAAUUUAGAAACUUUCUUUCUAGUAUAACUGUGGGGGAAUCUAGAGAUAUAACGCAGGCUACCAUAGGGAGCAUUCACUUUCCUGCUAUACAUUAUUUUGCUCUCUUCAUCAGUAGAUGCAUAAAUGCUAAGGAUGAAGCAUGUCACAUGUGUGUCCCUGAUCUUAGCAUUCUUAGGAGUGCUGUGUUAGGAGACCAAUCUUAUCAUAUGGGAGCUAUUGUAGCUCGUAGGUUGCAGCAUAAUAGGCAUAAUGGAGAUUUCUUUGGAGGAAUUUAUGCAACCCGCUUAGCUCAUUUUCUUGAGAUAGACAUUCGUGAGGGUGAUAUGGAGUUGCCUCCUGCAUAUUUAGAUUAUGACUCUAUGUCUUCGCACCAGUUUGUCGAGAGGCCUGAAUCACCUCUCUUAUAUGGUUUAAUUUUUGAUAAACGACGUGUUUUCCAUAUUACUCUCCCUGCUCCUGCAUUCUUUGAUUCGCAGACAAAAGGAAGAUAUGUUCUUACCAGAGAGGAGGCAAAAGAGUACGAGAGGAGAGCGGAGGCAGCUCGACUCCACGCUGUAGCAGAGCAGGCGAUAACCGCUGCACAUCAGUAUGAUCCCAACUAUUCCUCCUCAUCACAGUACGACCCCAACAACUAUUAUUAUGGAUAUCCACCAGGCCAGCCGUGGCCAUAA